Long non-coding RNA from Amphimedon queenslandica, 555 nucleotides. RefSeq lists it as uncharacterized. NCBI's taxonomy places the organism in Eukaryota, Metazoa, Porifera, Demospongiae, Haplosclerida, Niphatidae. The transcript has 4 exons. The record is from RefSeq and is a predicted model, not a curated record.
UAUUCUAUUAUACUUCAAGUUAUGGCACGGACACCUUUAACAAUGCCAGCAUUUAUCACACUGGAUUUCAAAGCAAUAUUACUGGAAUAAGCCAAAACUGCACCAGACUAUCAUGGAGUCAGGAUAAUGAUGCCUCAGAAUGUCAUGAGUAUACUGGAACUGCUUGUAGAGACUUUUUACAUCAAUGGUUUCAAUGUACCAUUGGAGAAGGUGAAUUGAAUAUUGGAGUAAGUCAACAAGAACAAAAUCAACAUGAACAGACAAUUGGAUCACUCAGUCCUUAUUUAGAACACUACAAACAAUGUCAACAACAAUCAUCAGCUUUCAUAUGUCAAUAUUUCUUUCCUCUUGCUGACUGCUCAACUGGAAAAUCUUACAAGGCUACCAAGGAAGACUGCCUCCUCAUAAGUACAGGUGUUUGUUCAGACCUGUGGACACUAGCAAACAGCUUUAGCUAUGGCUCACUCUUACCUGAUUGUUCUACACUACCAAAUGCUGCCAAUGACUCAUCUUCUGUCACACUUUCAAUUGAAGGCAUAAAUGAUACCAAUGGUA